Molecule: transfer RNA, 75 nt
Filed under: uncultured archaeon
Lineage: Archaea
Description: tRNA-Thr(cgt)
Rfam family: tRNA
About the family: Transfer RNA (tRNA) molecules are approximately 80 nucleotides in length. Their secondary structure includes four short double-helical elements and three loops (D, anti-codon, and T loops). Further hydrogen bonds mediate the characteristic L-shaped molecular structure. tRNAs have two regions of fundamental functional importance: the anti-codon, which is responsible for specific mRNA codon recognition, and the 3' end, to which the tRNAs corresponding amino acid is attached (by aminoacyl-tRNA synthetases). tRNAs cope with the degeneracy of the genetic code in two manners: having more than one tRNA (with a specific anti-codon) for a particular amino acid; and 'wobble' base-pairing, i.e. permitting non-standard base-pairing at the 3rd anti-codon position.
Source: RNAcentral
AGCCUCUGUGGCUCAGCUGGUAGAGCGACUGAUUCGUAAUCAGUAGGCCGCGGGUUCAAAUCCCGCCAGAGGCUU